CCUACGGGAGGCAGCAGUGAGGAAUAUUGGUCAAUGGGCGUAAGCCUGAACCAGCCAAGUCGCGUGAGGGAUGAAGGUUCUAUGGAUCGUAAACCUCUUUUAUAAGGGAAUAAAGUGCGGGACGUGUCCCGUUUUGUAUGUACCUUAUGAAUAAGGAUCGGCUAACUCCGUGCCAGCAGCCGCGGUAAUACGGAGGAUCCGAGCGUUAUCCGGAUUUAUUGGGUUUAAAGGGUGCGUAGGCGGCAUUUUAAGUCAGCGGUGAAAUUCCGUGGCUCAACCAUAGAAUUGCCGUUGAAACUGGGAGGCUUGAGUGUGUUUGAGGCAGGCGGAAUUCGUGGUGUAGCGGUGAAAUGCGUAGAUAUCACGAAGAACCCCGAUUGCGAAGGCAGCCUGCCGGGCCAUGACUGACGCUGAUGCACGAAAGCGUGGGGAUCAAACAGGAUUAGAUACCCGAGUAGUC
Molecule: ribosomal RNA, 460 nt
Filed under: uncultured bacterium
Lineage: Bacteria
Description: partial 16S ribosomal RNA
Rfam family: Bacterial small subunit ribosomal RNA
Source: RNAcentral